RNAcentral lists this ribosomal RNA (800 nucleotides) under Halolamina sp. GuM11. RNAcentral's name for it is "bacterial SSU rRNA". It matches the Rfam family "Archaeal small subunit ribosomal RNA", at positions 524 to 1319 of the family's 1478-position model. The record is from RNAcentral. Lineage: Archaea; Methanobacteriati; Methanobacteriota; Halobacteria; Halobacteriales; Haloferacaceae.
GCUGGCCGAGCAAGUUCGUCGGGAAAUCCACCCGCUUAACGGGUGGGCGUCCGGCGAAAACUGUUCGGCUUGGGACAGGAAGGCUCGAGGGGUACGUUCGGGGUAGGAGUGAAAUCCCGUAAUCCUGAACGGACCACCGAUGGCGAAAGCACCUCGAGAGGACUGAUCCGACAGUGAGGGACGAAAGCUGGGGUCUCGAACCGGAUUAGAUACCCGGGUAGUCCCAGCCGUAAACGAUGUUCGCUAGGUGUGACACUCACUACGAGUGAGUGUUGUGCCGCAGGGAAGCCGCUAAGCGAACCGCCUGGGAAGUACGUCCGCAAGGAUGAAACUUAAAGGAAUUGGCGGGGGAGCACUACAACCGGAGGAGCCUGCGGUUUAAUUGGACUCAACGCCGGUAACCUUACCAGCCCCGACUACGGUGAUGACGGUCAGGUUGAUGACCUCACCACGAUGCCGUAGAGAGGUGGUGCAUGGCCGCCGUCAGCUCGUACCGUGAGGCGUCCUGUUAAGUCAGGCAACGAGCGAGACCCGCACUCUUAAUUGCCAGCAUGUCCCUUGAGGAUGAUGGGUACAUUAGGAGGACUGCCGCCGCCAAGGCGGAGGAAGGAACGGGCAACGGUAGGUCAGUAUGCCCCGAAUGGGCUGGGCAACACGCGGGCUACAAUGGCCGAGACAAUGGGUUCCAACCCCGAGAGGGAGCGGUAAUCUCAGAAACUCGGUCGUAGUUCGGAUUGCGGACUGCAACUCGUCCGCAUGAAGCUGGAUUCGGUAGUAAUCGCAUUCCAGGAGAGUGCGGU